RNAcentral lists this ribosomal RNA (444 nucleotides) under uncultured bacterium. Its description in RNAcentral is "partial 16S ribosomal RNA". It matches the Rfam family "Bacterial small subunit ribosomal RNA", at positions 338 to 795 of the family's 1533-position model. The record is from RNAcentral.
CCUACGGGUGGCAGCAGUGGGGAAUAUUGGGCAAUGGAGGCAACGCUGACCCAGCAAUGCCGCGUGAAUGAAGAAGGUCUUCGGAUUGUAAAGUUCUUUAAUUGGGGACGAAAAAAAUGACGGUACCCAAGGAAUAAGCCACGGCUAAACACGUGCAAGCAGCCGCGGUAAUAAGGAGGGGGAAAGGGUUGUUGGGAAUGACUGGGGGUAAAGGGUGUGUAGGCGGUGGAGCAAGUCAGAAGUGAAAUACCUCGGGCUUAACUCGGGUACUGCUUCUAAAACUGCUAUACUUGAGUGCAGUAGAGGAAAGUGGAAUUCCUAGUGUAGCGGUGGAAUGCGUAGAUAUUAGGAGGAACAUCAGUGGCGAAGGCGACUUUCUGGACUGUAACUGACGCUGAGGCACGAAAGUGUGGGGAGCAAACAGGAUUAGAUACCCGGGUAGUC